CGGAGUGGACGAGACGGUCGCUCCCGAAUCCGUCAAGGAAGAGGGGGAGGAAAGUCCGGACUCCGCAGGGCAGGGUGGUCGCUAACGACGACCCCGGGCGACCGGAGGGAAAGUGCCACAGAAAACACACCGCCCGCCAGGGCAAGGGUGAAAUGGCGAGGUAAGAGCUCACCGCCCCGGUGGUGACAUCGGGGGCAGGGCAAACCCCACCCGGAGCAAGGCCAAACGUGCCCCCCAUGGGAUCGCCCGUCCCGGGGGCGGGUCGGCCGCUGGAUCCCGCGGGCAACCGCGGGGCUAGACAAAUGACCGUCCCCGGCGCUUCGGCGCCGGGAACAGAAUCCGGCUUAUGGGCCGCUCCGGCCG
Molecule: RNase P RNA, 363 nt
Filed under: Acidobacteriota bacterium
Lineage: Bacteria; Pseudomonadati; Acidobacteriota
Also listed under: 1 other name
Description: Acidobacteria bacterium (anaerobic digester metagenome) RNase P RNA component class A
Rfam family: Bacterial RNase P class A
About the family: Ribonuclease P (RNase P) is a ubiquitous endoribonuclease, found in archaea, bacteria and eukarya as well as chloroplasts and mitochondria. Its best characterised activity is the generation of mature 5'-ends of tRNAs by cleaving the 5'-leader elements of precursor-tRNAs.
Source: RNAcentral